GAUGAACGCUGGCGGCGUGCCUAAUACAUGCAAGUCGAGCGAACAGAUGAGAAGCUUGCUUCUCUGAUGUUAGCGGCGGACGGGUGAGUAACACGUGGGUAACCUACCUAUAAGACUGGGAUAACUCCGGGAAACCGGGGCUAAUACCGGAUAAUAUUUUGAACCGCAUGGUUCAAUAGUGAAAGACGGUUUCGGCUGUCACUUAUAGAUGGACCCGCGCCGUAUUAGCUAGUUGGUAAGGUAACGGCUUACAAAGGCGACGAUACGUAGCCGACCUGGAAGGGAGAUAGGCCACACUGGAACUGAGAAACGGUCUAGGCUCCGACGGGAGGAGGCAGUAGGGAGUCUUCCGCAAGGGGCGAAAGCCUGACGGGGCAACGCCGCGUGAGUGAUGAAGGUCUUCGGAUCGUAAAACUCUGUUGUUAGGUAAGAACAAAUUUGUUAGUAACUGAACAAAUCUUGACGGUACCUAACCAGAAAGCCACGGCUAACUACGUGCCAGCCGCCGCCGUAA
RNAcentral lists this ribosomal RNA (514 nucleotides) under uncultured bacterium. RNAcentral's name for it is "partial 16S ribosomal RNA". It matches the Rfam family "Bacterial small subunit ribosomal RNA", at positions 28 to 523 of the family's 1533-position model. The record is from RNAcentral.